Molecule: ribosomal RNA, 468 nt
Filed under: uncultured bacterium
Lineage: Bacteria
Description: partial 16S ribosomal RNA
Rfam family: Bacterial small subunit ribosomal RNA
Source: RNAcentral
GACGAACGCUGGCGGCGUGCUUAACACAUGCCAGUCGAACGGAAAGGCCCUGCUUUUGUGGGGUGCUCGAGUGGCGAACGGGUGAGUAACACGUGAGUAACCUGCCCUUGACUUUGGGAUAACUUCAGGAAACUGGGGCUAAUACCGGAUAGGAGCUCCUGCUGCAUGGUGGGGGUUGGAAAGUUUCGGCGGUUGGGGAUGGACUCGCGGCUUAUCAGCUUGUUGGUGGGGUAGUGGCUGACCAAGGCUUUGACGGGUAGCCGGCCUGAGAGGGUGACCGGCCACAUUGGGCCUGAGAUACGGCCCAGACUCCUACGGGAGGCAGCAGUGGGGAAUAUUGCACAAUGGGCGGAAGCCUGAUGCAGCAACGCCGCGUGCGGGAUGACGGCCUUCGGGUUGUAAACCGCUUUCGCCUGUGACGAAGCGUGAGUGACGGUAAUGGGUAAAGAAGCACCGGCUAACUACGUG